CCUACGGGGGGCUGCAGUGGGGAAUAUUGGACAAUGGGGGGAACCCUGAUCCAGCCAUGCCGCGUGUGUGAAGAAGGCCCUCGGGUUGUAAAGCACUUUCAGUGAGGAAGAACGCCUGGUGGUUAAUACCCAUCAGGAAAGACAUCACUCACAGAAGAAGCACCGGCUAACUCCGUGCCAGCAGCCGCGGUAAUACGGAGGGUGUGAGCGUUAAUCGGAAUUACUGGGCGUAAAGCGCGCGUAGGUGGCUUGAUAAGCCGGUUGUGAAAGCCCCGGGCUCAACCUGGGAACGGCAUCCGGAACUGUCAAGCUAGAGUGCAGGAGAGGAAGGUAGAAUUCCCGGUGUAGCGGUGAAAUGCGUAGAGAUCGGGAGGAAUACCAGUGGCGAAGGCGGCCUUCUGGACUGACACUGACACUGAGGUGCGAAAGCGUGGGUAGCAAACAGGAUUAGAUACCCCUGUAGUC
RNAcentral lists this ribosomal RNA (465 nucleotides) under Vreelandella stevensii. Its description in RNAcentral is "partial 16S ribosomal RNA". It matches the Rfam family "Bacterial small subunit ribosomal RNA", at positions 338 to 795 of the family's 1533-position model. Lineage: Bacteria; Pseudomonadati; Pseudomonadota; Gammaproteobacteria; Oceanospirillales; Halomonadaceae. The record is from RNAcentral.